This is a long non-coding RNA of Carassius auratus (goldfish), 888 nucleotides long. RefSeq lists it as uncharacterized. NCBI's taxonomy places the organism in Eukaryota, Metazoa, Chordata, Actinopteri, Cypriniformes, Cyprinidae. The record is from RefSeq and is a predicted model, not a curated record. The transcript has 3 exons.
CUGUAAAAAAAAAUCCCGUAAAAAAACGGUAAAAUUCCGGCAGCUGGGGUGCCGGAAAAAUACCGUAAAAUAACAGGCACAUUACAUAACAGUAAUUUUCCGUAAUUCAAAAAUACAGUUUUUUGCUGUAAUUUUACAUGAGAUUUUCUGUAUUUUCUUCACUUUUAAUGUUCAAUAAGAUGUUUUACAUGAAUUUUGUGGAAACCAUUAAAUUAUCAUGAAGUUAUUUUUUUAAUCAAAAUUAUUUAACACUGCUUUAAUUUAAAUAAUCAGACAUAGGUGCAAGAUAGUGUUUUAAUAAUUUAUUGCCCUAUCUGCAAGAACAUACCAAUACAUUUUGUUCAAAACUGCAAUUUACUCUUAAUAUUCUAUAUUCAAGACUGCAACAAUAUACAAGUAUAAAGAUUAUAGCACAAGUUCAAUGAUUUUCCAAUAAUCAUAACUUCAACAAUAUUACAAUUCAUUUUGUUCAUGGCCAAAACAGAAUAAAAAUAUUUUAAAAAAAAUCAUAAAUGCAACAGCACACAGUAAAAACAAUUUUGGUAAACACAACAAUUUAUACUAAAAUUGUCCUUUAAUUUAACUGAACCACCUGUGAAGAAAUUAUUCACCUCGACAACAGAUAUAUGCUCUAAUAGUGUAGAGAUGAUAGUAAAGUAACACUCUGACGCUCACAACUCAAUCCUCAGACUGAUCCUCAGUGCACUAAUAACAUCAGUCAGAUGUGUAUGUGUAGCUGUAGAGUUCAGGAAGCAUCCGUUCUACACAGAACAGAAAGAGACGACUCCCAGACGAACGGCAUCUUAACAUCAGGGAUCUCAACCAUGUGCUGUCAUAUGAGUGUGUGUGUGUGUGUAGGUGUGUGUGUGUGUGUGUGUGUGUUCACUG